UAUGACUUCAAACAGAGAAAAAGCAGCUGGUGAAGAUGGAAGUUGUUCAAAUAAACCACUGGAUGAAAACAUCUUUUGGACUAACACAAAGGGAUCGAGAGAGUCAUAAGAGACAUAUAAGACGGUACCAGCUAACCUUGUCUACUCUCUGGUGAAGGUUCUAAGGAGUUAAGGAAAUGGACAAAAGGAGGGAGGAGUACAGAAACAUGGAGCUGGCUCAUUUAUCCACUGCAGAAUCCCUCCCCAGAAAACAGAGCCGCAUGGACUGCAGGGGUGCAAUUUCCUGCUCUGCAUUUACCAAACUCAUCUCAGAAAAGUGUGCUGGACCCUAAGUAGAGAAAGAGCAGGACCUGGCCUCUGGGAGGUCUGCAUUCUAGGGAAAGAAGACUAUUAAGGUGAUCAGAUAGGUCAGGGGACUCUGAAUCACUUAUGUUAAAGAACAGUAAAUGCCACGGUACCUAUUGCUUUUGCCAAGAAGCGUGCACUGUUGAGAUUCUUCACUUCAGUCCUAAUCCCCCAGGGUUCCCCAGGAUGAUGCACAGAUAUGUUGGCGUCCACUCUCAACUGACCCUCUGGAAAGAAAAAGAAGUCACUGCUUCAAACAUUCCUUUCUGCUCGAGGGCCACAUGGGAAGGGCCUGGCAUGGGUCCCCAUGCUGGAUGUUGGAGCUUGGAUGCUGGACAGGUUUUCACUAGUCUCCUCUGAAGGUCUUGAAGGUGACUCAUUUCCUUAGUAAAAGCCUUAGCACGUAA
Molecule: long non-coding RNA, 752 nt
Organism: Ornithorhynchus anatinus (platypus)
Lineage: Eukaryota; Metazoa; Chordata; Mammalia; Monotremata; Ornithorhynchidae
Exons: 2
Source: RefSeq, a predicted model, not a curated record